CCGGGCUCUCAGGCCAUAGAGAAAUAAAAGGCCAGAUUGGACUCGUAAGGAGAAAAACAAAUGCUGAAAAUUCUCAUGAGUUUAGAAAUGCAAAAUUGUGGGGGACUAUAUAGGAUGGGUGCUGGGGACCAUCAUAGGGUUGUGAGGCUUGGGGAACAUGGUACAGGAAAUAAUAUAAUAUUCUAGAAUAAUGUGUUAAUGUGUGUGUACCUGAAAAGAUAUGUCUAGUAUUUAUAGGCAAAUUUGUUUCCCAAUCUAUGUUAGCAGAUGAAGCUUCAUGAGCAAAAUACGGGCUAUCCAAUUUGUAAGCCUACUCUUUAAAGAAUCGCAAUGAUUGCCAAUACAAAGCAUCUGGCAAACUUGUCACCUCAUAUGAGCAUAGAGUUUCAACCUCGUACAAAAUGAUAAACCUGUUAGAUCAUUAUGACCAUAUGGAAAAGAAACCCAGAAAUAUAUAUUGAAAAACAAAAGCCACAAUAUAUCAAGAACCAAAACAAAUAAUCACUAAGUAUAUGCAACCAAAUUAUAUCAACAGGCAACAUACCACAUCCCAACUAAACAUCCAAUUACAUUGGAAAACCAAAAUCACAAUGAAUCAGUCAUCAAAAUGAACAAUCAAAUUAAAUCCACAUACAACACAUAUCAACAAACCAGCCAAAUACAUUGUAAAACAAACCACAAUGAAUUGAUCAUCAAAAAGAUCAAUCACUAAGUAAAUGCAACCAAAUUAGAUUCACGUACAACUAACACAUCUCAACAAACCAGCCAUAGACAAUGGAAACAAAAACCGUGAUAGAUUGAUAAUCUAAAUGAACAAAUUACCAAGUAAAUGCAACAAUAGUAAAUCUACGAACACACAACACAUCUCAACAAACUAGUCAAAUACAUUGUACAACAAACCACAAUAAACUGAUCAUCAAAAUGAACAAUUCACAAAGUAAAUGCAACCAAAAUUAGAUCAACGAAAAAUUGGAGCAUCUCAACAAACUAGCCAAAUACAUUGGUAAACAAAAACGACAAUGAAUUGAUAAUCAAAAUGAACAAUCGCCAAGUAAAUGCAAAAAUAAAAAAUAAAUAAUUACAUCCACGAACAACACAAAACAUCUCAACAAACCAGCGAAAUACAUUGGGAAACAAAGACCACAAUGAAUUGAUCAUCAAAUGACCAAUCAGUAAAUAAAUGCAACCAAGUCAAAUCCACCGGCAAAACACUACACAACUCUACAACAUAAAGAAACUCAAAAAUGGACAGCAAUCCAAAGUAUAAGAGGAAAUUUGUAUAUUGAUAACAAACAAUUGAGAACAAAGACCACAGCAAAUCAAUCAUCAAAAUGAAAACUCACUUAGUAAAUAUAACCAAAUUAUAUCCACGGAAAACACAAGACUACAAGAAAACUAUCAUUCCCUCACGAGCAACAACUCUCACAAAUUGAAUCAGAGGAAUAAAAGUAAUAAAUCAAAAGAAAAUCACAGUUACCAUAAAAUAAAAAAAUCACAAAAUUCUAG
This 1506-nucleotide long non-coding RNA is filed under the name Olea europaea subsp. europaea. Lineage: Eukaryota; Viridiplantae; Streptophyta; Magnoliopsida; Lamiales; Oleaceae. The record is from RNAcentral.